This 1534-nucleotide unclassified non-coding RNA is filed under the name Zea mays. Its description in RNAcentral is "misc RNA Zm00001eb055190". Lineage: Eukaryota; Viridiplantae; Streptophyta; Magnoliopsida; Poales; Poaceae. The record is from RNAcentral.
GAAAGAUCAGAGGAAGAAGGAAGAACACUUGCUAUUCUUGACAAAAACAACAAUAGUGAUAUGCAAAUCAACAGCAAGGUAUGAAGCAAACCAUUUCCAUGCGCAUACGUCGUAUGCACAAAGUUCUGCACAUUGUUGAUGAUGCGAGGUUGGAGGCGUUUGCUGCUGGGCAAGACACAACACUUCCACCAGUGCAUGCCAUCCCUGAACGCCGUGUGCAAGUGCAAAACGUGCACUUCUAUGUUCUCCAUGGAUGGACAGUGGUGGUUCCACUGUCGGUGGUGGAGUGCGGCCUCCCCACUGUGUCCCCGUCACCACCGGUGCCGGUGGGUGACGCGGGGUCAUCUACAUCCGCACCCAUGGACGUCGAUCUAGUGGUACCACCGCCUCCUCGACCCACUACAACGACAGUUGCUUGUCGUUCCCCAUCUCCGCCUACUUUGGUGGUCGUUGGGACCAUCGCUGCCCGUCGUGGACAGCUCCUCGCGCCGUUGAUGCCACGCGCGACCGCAUCAUCUUCACUGGCCACCGCCCAAACGGGGUGGCCCCAUCUUCCUCCCCAAAUGGGAGGGCCUAAUGGCCCUCUGUCCGGCUGGUGGUGGUUGCCGCCACGACGGCCGGUUGGGGGGAGGGGUGGGGGAGCAGGGAUACAGCCCCUGCGCGGGCGCCACUUGGAGCAUCUCCGGUGUGGGCAAGAUCCAGUCGGCCCAUGGCGCUUGGUGCGGCGCAGGACUGGACCAUGGCAGGUGGCUAUGGCACCGACUGCUGUCUCGGGCACGGACGCCGACCGCGGCAUGGCAGCCAUGGCGCGAUGCAAGAAGCCCACCCGGCGGCUCCUCGGUGAGCGCGCUCGGCCGGCGCGGGUGCUUGGCACCAGACUAUGGCUCGCCCCCGGUGCUGGUUCGGUCGGCCCUUGGUAGUGGCGCUCCGGUGCCCGAGGUGGCCCGGCGUGGGGGCGCUCGGCGAGGAAGCCCAGGCGCGACCGUCCGAGGAGAGGAUGGCCAGGCGAGGGCUGGAUCCCGGCGUGGGCACGCUUGGCUCGGAGAAUGGCGCCAGGCGUGGCUCCCAAGCCUGCUCCUUACGUGACCUCCUGGCGUGCGGAAUGAGGUGGCCGGCUGGCGGAAGACUCCUGCUCGUGAAGCAGACAGCCUGUGCGGCGGCGUCAGCCCAGCGGAUCAGGAGCUUGGUGGCGCAGACCGUGGAGGCGCAGACCACACGGCGGCGACGUCGGCUGCAGGGUCUAGGUGGUUAGGGUUUCCUUUUGAAACCCUAGCCACCCCAUAUAGAAUAGGCGUGUGGCUCCCUAGUGGGCUGCCUGGCUGGGCCAGUGUGCUAGCCACCAGUCUGCUGCCUGGUCCGCCUGGUUGGCCGCCUGGGCUGCUUCCAUGGACCAGAAAAGGCCCAUUUUAUCAUUUUAAUUCUGAAAUUUAGUACAAAACUCAGUUUUUAUAUGUAAUUUCUGUUCUAACUUGUGUUAGGCGUCUAAAUUUGUUAUUUAGAUUGCGGAUUGCUACAUAUAUUGUAAAUACCUGUC